RNAcentral lists this ribosomal RNA (438 nucleotides) under Triticum aestivum (bread wheat). Its description in RNAcentral is "partial small subunit ribosomal RNA". Lineage: Eukaryota; Viridiplantae; Streptophyta; Magnoliopsida; Poales; Poaceae. The record is from RNAcentral.
AUGAGAGGUCUCAUUUGGAACUGCAGAGGGGUAGGCAAGAAAGGGAUGGCCACCUGCCUCUCUGAUUUAAUAAGUGACCACUCCCUAGAUUUUCUGGACCAUGAAAAAUAUUUUUCUCCCAAGAACCUUAGGAGAAUUGAUCCCUUCCACUUGUUUGAGUGGGUGUGGGUGUCCUCAUCUGGCAAGUCUGGUGGUAUCAUUGUAGGAGCUAGAAGAGAUACCCUGGACAUUGUGUCUAGUAGAAAAGGGAAAUACAUGAUCCAACUUAACCUGAAUGAUGUUAAAAAGAAGUGUAGAUGGAGUCUCCUAGUGGUUUAUGGGUCAGCCCAUCAUGAUAUGAAAGAAGAGUUCCUGCUUGAACUCGCUUCUUUCUGCUCAACUAUUGAUAAUCCUUACAUAGUGGGAGGUGACUUUAACAUUUUGAGACACGGGGGGUGA